RNAcentral lists this ribosomal RNA (1145 nucleotides) under Stenotrophomonas maltophilia. Its description in RNAcentral is "partial 23S ribosomal RNA". It matches the Rfam family "Bacterial large subunit ribosomal RNA", at positions 380 to 1532 of the family's 2925-position model. Lineage: Bacteria; Pseudomonadati; Pseudomonadota; Gammaproteobacteria; Lysobacterales; Lysobacteraceae. The record is from RNAcentral.
UGUAUCUGAAAGGGCCAUUUCAGUGAAGACGAGUAGGGCGGGGCACGUGAAACCCUGUCUGAACAUGGGGGGACCAUCCUCCAAGGCUAAAUACUACUGACCGACCGAUAGUGAACCAGUACCGUGAGGGAAAGGCGAAAAGAACCCCGGAGAGGGGAGUGAAAUAGAACCUGAAACCGUGUGCGUACAAGCAGUAGGAGCUCCGCAAGGAGUGACUGCGUACCUUUUGUAUAAUGGGUCAGCGACUUACUGUUCGUGGCAAGCUUAACCGUAUAGGGGAGGCGAAGGGAAACCGAGUCUGAUAAGGGCGCAUAGUCGCGGGCAGUAGACCCGAAACCGGGUGAUCUAGUCAUGCCCAGGGUGAAGGUGCGGUAACACGCACUGGAGGCCCGAACCCACUCCCGUUGCAAAGGUAGGGGAUGAGGUGUGAUUAGGAGUGAAAAGCUAAUCGAACCCGGAGAUAGCUGGUUCUCCUCGAAAGCUAUUUAGGUAGCGCCUCAUAUGUAUCCUCUCGGGGGUAGAGCACUGUUAUGGCUAGGGGGUCAUCGCGACUUACCAAACCAUUGCAAACUCCGAAUACCGAGACGGACUGUAUGGGAGACACACGGCGGGUGCUAACGUCCGUCGUGAAAAGGGAAACAACCCAGACCCACAGCUAAGGUCCCAAAUUCACUGCUAAGUGGAAAACCAUGUGGAAAGGCACAGACAGCCAGGAGGUUGGCUUAGAAGCAGCCACCCUUUAAAGAAAGCGUAAUAGCUCACUGGUCGAGUCGGUCUGCGGGGAAGAUUUAACGGGGCUAAGCAGUGAACCGAAGCUUGGGGUGCAUAACUUUGUUAUGCGCGGUAGAGGAGCGUUCCGUAAGCCGUUGAAGGUGGAUUGAGAAGUCUGCUGGAGGUAUCGGAAGUGCGAAUGCUGACAUGAGUAACGAUAAUGCGGGUGAAAAACCCGCACGCCGAAAGCCCAAGGUUUCCUUGCGCAACGUUAAUCGGCGCAGGGUGAGUCGGCCCCUAAGGCGAGGACGAAAGUCGUAGUCGAUGGGAAGCAGGUUAAUAUUCCUGCACCUCGCGUAAGUGCGAUGGAGGGACGGAGAAGGUUAGGUGUACCAGGCGUUGGUUGUCCUGGGGAAAGGCGGUAGGUUUGGAUC